CCUACGGGUGGCAGCAGUGGGGGAUAUUGCACAAUGGGGGGAACCCUGAUGCAGCGACGCCGCGUGGGUGAAGAAGCGCCUCGGCGCGUAAAGCCCUGUCAGCAGGGAAGAAAAUGACGGUACCUGAAGAAGAAGCCCCGGCUAACUCCGUGCCAGCAGCCGCGGUAAUACGUAGGGGGCAAGCGUUAUCCGGAUUUACUGGGUGUAAAGGGGGCGCAGACGGGGAUGCAAGCCAGGAGUGAAAGCCCGGGGCUCAACCCCGGGACUGCUCUUGAAACUGCGUGGCUGGAGUGCAGGAGGGGCAGGCGGAAUUCCUGGUGUAGCGGUGAAAUGCGUAGAUAUCAGGAGGAACACCGGUGGCGAAGGCGGCCUGCUGGACUGCAACUGACGUUGAGGCCCGAAAGCGUGGGGAGCAAACAGGAUUAGAUACCCCAGUAGUC
RNAcentral lists this ribosomal RNA (440 nucleotides) under uncultured bacterium. RNAcentral describes it as "partial 16S ribosomal RNA". It matches the Rfam family "Bacterial small subunit ribosomal RNA", at positions 338 to 795 of the family's 1533-position model. The record is from RNAcentral.